AUGACCAUGUGGUUUUUUAGGUUCGCUAUAUUCUGUUGUCGCGCGUGGUGGUGUGUAGGCUGGGAAGUGAGGGCCUUAUUUUGUUUUUUCUUGUCUUUGGUAAAAGCCAAAAGUGCUACGACUUGUUAUUGGUGGAGCAGAGAUUUAUGUAUUUUAUUAUUUGUCUGCAUCCUUGUAAGGCGUGUGAUCAUCUGUUGGUGGAGUGUUGGUGUUUUUGUUGCUUUCAGUCUAGCUAGGCUCCAAGGAAGGGCCUUUUUGGAUCUGUCUUGUUUUCUUAUUAGCUUCUUGUCCAGGGGAGCAUUGGAUCUAGGUACGUUUUUUUUAGAGAAAGACUAUAUGGGAACCCCCUACAGUAUAAUUGGUGCAACAAACCAAAAUUGCAAGUACCAUGCCUUGAACCUGGGUGGGUGGGAAGGCAUCAGCCCCUUCCCACCACUAGGCUAUGCCUUAAUCUGCUGGAUCUAG
Molecule: ribosomal RNA, 465 nt
Filed under: Triticum aestivum (bread wheat)
Lineage: Eukaryota; Viridiplantae; Streptophyta; Magnoliopsida; Poales; Poaceae
Description: partial small subunit ribosomal RNA
Source: RNAcentral